GAUGAACGCUAGCGAUAGGCCUAACACAUGCAAGUCGAGGGGCAUCACAUGAGGUAGCGAUACCGAUGGUGGCGACCGGCGCACGGGUGAGUAACACGUAUGCAACCUGCCUCCAACAAGGGGAUAACCCGUUGAAAGACGGACUAAUACCCUAUGACACAGGGCUCCCGCAUGGGAAUAUUUGUUAAAGAUUUAUCGGUUGGAGAUGGGCAUGCGUUCCAUUAGCUUGUUGGCGGGGUCACGGCCCACCAAGGCAACGAUGGAUAGGGGAACUGAGAGGUUUAUCCCCCACACUGGUACUGAGACACGGACCAGACUCCUACGGGAGGCAGCAGUGAGGAAUAUUGGUCAAUGGACGCAAGUCUGAACCAGCCACGUCGCGUGAAGGACGACGGCCCUACGGGUUGUAAACUUCUUUUACACGGGAAUAAAGUGCCCCACGUGUGGGGUUUUGCAUGUACCGUGUGAAUAAGGAUCGGCUAACUCCGUG
Molecule: ribosomal RNA, 490 nt
Filed under: uncultured bacterium
Lineage: Bacteria
Description: bacterial SSU rRNA
Rfam family: Bacterial small subunit ribosomal RNA
Source: RNAcentral